GGCGGGUUGAUUUUCUCACUUUGGACUGGUUUUUACUUCCAGACUUCUGGACUCAUCUUUCAAGAGGACUUUAGACUAAUUGCAGAUAAUUAAGAGAAUAUGCCUUCUGCAUCCUGUGAUACACUACUGGAUGACAUCGAAGAUAUCGUGUCUCAGGAAGAUUCAAAACCACAAGAUAGGCAUUUUGUAAGAAAGGAUGUUGUCCCGAAGGUACGAAGGCGAAAUACCCAAAAAUAUUUGCAAGAGGAAGAAAACAGUCCACCAAGUGACAGCACUAUUCCAGGCAUACAGAAAAUUUGGAUACGAACAUGGGGUUGUUCUCAUAAUAAUUCAGAUGGAGAAUAUAUGGCUGGACAGCUAGCUGCUUAUGGCUAUAAAAUUACAGAAAAUGCAUCCGAUGCAGAUUUAUGGCUCCUGAACAGUUGCACUGUAAAAAACCCAGCUGAAGACCACUUUAGAAACUCAAUUAA
Molecule: long non-coding RNA, 470 nt
Filed under: Pan troglodytes (chimpanzee)
Lineage: Eukaryota; Metazoa; Chordata; Mammalia; Primates; Hominidae
Description: long non-coding RNA NONPTRT014534
Source: RNAcentral